Molecule: ribosomal RNA, 429 nt
Filed under: bacterium
Lineage: Bacteria
Description: partial 16S ribosomal RNA
Rfam family: Bacterial small subunit ribosomal RNA
Source: RNAcentral
UAGGGAAUCUUCGGCAAUGGGGGCAACCCUGACCGAGCAACGCCGCGUGAGUGAAGAAGGUUUUCGGAUCGUAAAGCUCUGUUGUAAGAGAAGAACGUGUGUGAGAGUGGAAAGUUCACACAGUGACGGUAACUUACCAGAAAGGGACGGCUAACUACGUGCCAGCAGCCGCGGUAAUAGGUAGGUCCCGAGCGUUGUCCGGAUUUAUUGGGCGUAAAGCGAGCGCAGGCGGUUUAAUAAGUCUGAAGUUAAAGGCAGUGGCUUAACCAGUGUUCGCUUUGGAAACUGUUAAACUUGAGUGCAGAAGGGGAGAGUGGAAUUCCAUGUGUAGCGGUGAAAUGCGUAGAUAUAUGGAGGAACACCGGUGGCGAAAGCGGCUCUCUGGUCUGUAACUGACGCUGAGGCUCGAAAGCGUGGGGAGCAAACAGG